RNAcentral lists this transfer RNA (76 nucleotides) under Hyphomicrobiales bacterium. RNAcentral describes it as "tRNA-Ala". It matches the Rfam family "tRNA". Rfam says of the family: Transfer RNA (tRNA) molecules are approximately 80 nucleotides in length. Their secondary structure includes four short double-helical elements and three loops (D, anti-codon, and T loops). The record is from RNAcentral. Lineage: Bacteria; Pseudomonadati; Pseudomonadota; Alphaproteobacteria; Hyphomicrobiales. RNAcentral also lists the same sequence under 2 other names.
GGGGUCAUAGCUCAGUUGGGAGAGCGCUUGCAUGGCAUGCAAGAGGUCGUCGGUUCGAUUCCGUCUGGCUCCACCA